This 377-nucleotide ribosomal RNA is filed under the name uncultured eukaryote. RNAcentral's name for it is "partial 18S ribosomal RNA". It matches the Rfam family "Eukaryotic small subunit ribosomal RNA", at positions 592 to 976 of the family's 1831-position model. The record is from RNAcentral.
CAAUAGCGUAUAUUAAAGUUGUUGCGGUUAAAAAGCUCGUAGUUGGAUUUCGGGUGGGAAUGGCCGGUCCGCCGUUUCGGUGUGCACUUGCUACGCCCACCUUGCUGCCGGGGACGUGCUCUUGAGUUCACGCUCGGGACACGGAGUCGGCGAGGUUACUUUGAGUAAAUUAGAGUGUUCAAAGCAGGCCUACGCUCUGAAUACAUUAGCAUGGAAUAACACGAUAGGACUCUGGCCUAUCUUGUUGGUCUGUAGGACCGGAGUAAUGAUUAAGAGGGACAGUCGGGGGCAUUCGUAUUUCAUUGUCAGAGGUGAAAUUCUUGGAUUUAUGAAAGACGAACUACUGCGAAAGCAUUUGCCAAGGAUGUUUUCAUUAA